This is a non-coding RNA of Lonchura striata (white-rumped munia), 239 nucleotides long. The record is from RefSeq and is a predicted model, not a curated record. NCBI's taxonomy places the organism in Eukaryota, Metazoa, Chordata, Aves, Passeriformes, Estrildidae.
UGAUGAAUAAGCAGUGGAGCGGUGGCUCUGGAAGCGGUGCUGCGGUGCGCGCUGCGAUCAGCGCCGAGCGCGGUGGCUGGGAAUGAACGUGGGCAGCAAGCUGGCGUUUCCUAAUCCCUUCGAGUUUAGAAAUGUCCUUCCUGUUGGAAGCACGCCACCUGAACGCGAAAUCAAACCUACUCACCGGGUGAAAUUGCAGGAGGAGAAGCGGCUGUGAAUGAAACGCAUCCCGGCUCCGA